AGAAUCAACGCUGGCGGCGUGCCUAACACAUGCAAGUCGAACGAGAAAGGGGAGCAAUCCCUGAGUAAAGUGGCGCACGGGUGAGUAACACGUGACUAACCUACCCUGGAGUGGGGGAUAACUGAGGGAAACCUUAGCUAAUACCGCAUAAUACCCACGGGUCAAAGGAGCAAUUCGCUUUGGGAGGGGGUCGCGGCCGAUUAGUUAGUUGGCGGGGUAAUGGCCCACCAAGACGAUGAUCGGUAUCC
Molecule: ribosomal RNA, 248 nt
Filed under: uncultured bacterium
Lineage: Bacteria
Description: partial small subunit ribosomal RNA
Rfam family: Bacterial small subunit ribosomal RNA
Source: RNAcentral